UUGGAGGGCAAGUCUGGUGCCAGCAGCCGCGGUGAUUCCAGCUCCAAUAGCGUAUAUUAAAGUUGUUGCAGUUAAAAAGCUCGUAGUUGAAUUUCGGGAUCAAUGUUUCGGUCAUGCCGUUGGUAUGUACUGAUAUUAUUGGUUUCUCACCUUCUAAAGAACCGUAAUGCCAUUAAUUUGGUGUCACGGGGAAUUAGGACUGUUACCUUGAAAAAAUUAGAGUGUUUAAAGCAGGCUCACGCUUGAAUACAUUAGCAUGGAAUAAUGAAAUAGGACAUCCGAUUCUAUUUUGUUGGUUUCUAGGAUCGAUGUAAUGAUUAAUAGGGAUAGUUGGGGGCAUUAGUAUUCAAUUGUCAGAGGUGAAAUUCUUGGAUUUAUUGAAGACUAACUACUGCGAAAGCAUUUGCCAAGGAUGUUUUCAUUAAUCAAGAACGAAAGUUAGGGGAUCGAAGGCGAUCAGAUACCGUCGUAGUCUUAACCAUAAACUAUGCCGACUAGGGAUCGGAUGAUGUUAAUUUUUUAAUGACUCAUUCGGCACCUUACGGGAAACCAAAG
RNAcentral lists this ribosomal RNA (555 nucleotides) under uncultured Glomus. RNAcentral's name for it is "SSU rRNA". It matches the Rfam family "Eukaryotic small subunit ribosomal RNA", at positions 548 to 1103 of the family's 1831-position model. The record is from RNAcentral. Lineage: Eukaryota; Fungi; Glomeromycota; Glomeromycetes; Glomerales; Glomeraceae.